Molecule: ribosomal RNA, 1091 nt
Filed under: Microbacterium sp. 105b
Lineage: Bacteria; Bacillati; Actinomycetota; Actinomycetes; Micrococcales; Microbacteriaceae
Description: bacterial SSU rRNA
Rfam family: Bacterial small subunit ribosomal RNA
Source: RNAcentral
UGAACGCUGGUGGCGUGCUUAACACAUGCAAGUCGAACGGUGAAGCCAAGCUUGCUUGGUGGAUCAGUGGCGAACGGGUGAGUAACACGUGAGCAACCUGCCCUGGACUCUGGGAUAAGCGCUGGAAACGGCGUCUAAUACUGGAUAUGAGACGUGAUCGCAUGGUCAACGUUUGGAAAGAUUUUUCGGUCUGGGAUGGGCUCGCGGCCUAUCAGCUUGUUGGUGAGGUAAUGGCUCACCAAGGCGUCGACGGGUAGCCGGCCUGAGAGGGUGACCGGCCACACUGGGACUGAGACACGGCCCAGACUCCUACGGGAGGCAGCAGUGGGGAAUAUUGCACAAUGGGCGGAAGCCUGAUGCAGCAACGCCGCGUGAGGGAUGACGGCCUUCGGGUUGUAAACCUCUUUUAGCAGGGAAGAAGCGAAAGUGACGUUACCUGCAGAAAAAGCGCCGGCUAACUACGUGCCAGCAGCCGCGGUAAUACGUAGGGCGCAAGCGUUAUCCGGAAUUAUUGGGCGUAAAGAGCUCGUAGGCGGUUUGUCGCGUCUGCUGUGAAAUCCCGAGGCUCAACCUCGGGCCUGCAGUGGGUACGGGCAGACUAGAGUGCGGUAGGGGAGAUUGGAAUUCCUGGUGUAGCGGUGGAAUGCGCAGAUAUCAGGAGGAACACCGAUGGCGAAGGCAGAUCUCUGGGCCGUAACUGACGCUGAGGAGCGAAAGGGUGGGGAGCAAACAGGCUUAAUACCCUGGUAGUCCACCCCGUAAACGUUGGGAACUAGUUGUGGGGACCAUUCCACGGUUUCCGUGACGCAGCUAACGCAUUAAGUUCCCCGCCUGGGGAGUACGGCCGCAAGGCUAAAACUCAAAGGAAUUGACGGGGACCCGCACAAGCGGCGGAGCAUGCGGAUUAAUUCGAUGCAACGCGAAGAACCUUACCAAGGCUUGACAUACACCAGAACGGGCCAGAAAUGGUCAACUCUUUGGACACUGGUGAACAGGUGGUGCAUGGUUGUCGUCAGCUCGUGUCGUGAGAUGUUGGGUUAAGUCCCGCAACGAGCGCAACCCUCGUUCUAUGUUGCCAGCACGUAAUGGUG